This 72-nucleotide transfer RNA is filed under the name Colwellia sp. RNAcentral's name for it is "tRNA-Arg". It matches the Rfam family "tRNA". Rfam says of the family: Transfer RNA (tRNA) molecules are approximately 80 nucleotides in length. Their secondary structure includes four short double-helical elements and three loops (D, anti-codon, and T loops). Lineage: Bacteria; Pseudomonadati; Pseudomonadota; Gammaproteobacteria; Alteromonadales; Colwelliaceae. The record is from RNAcentral.
GGCCCCGUAGUUCAACGGAUAGAAUAGUGGUUUCCUAAACCAUAGAUAUAGGUUCGAUUCCUAUCGGGGCUA